Molecule: ribosomal RNA, 815 nt
Filed under: uncultured Oscillatoriales cyanobacterium
Lineage: Bacteria; Bacillati; Cyanobacteriota; Cyanophyceae; Oscillatoriales
Description: bacterial SSU rRNA
Rfam family: Bacterial small subunit ribosomal RNA
Source: RNAcentral
AGAGUUUGAUCCUGGCUCAGGAUGAACGCUGGCGGUCUGCUUAACACAUGCAAGUCGAACGGACGUUUUCGGACGUUAGUGGCGGACGGGUGAGUAACGCGUGAGAAUCUGCCUUCAGGUUGGGGACAACAGUUGGAAACGACUGCUAAUACCCAAUGUGCCGAGAGGUGAAAGCUUUAGUGCCUGAGGAUGAGCUCGCGUCUGAUUAGCUAGUUGGAGUGGUAAUGGCACACCAAGGCGACGAUCAGUAGCUGGUCUGAGAGGAUGAUCAGCCACACUGGGACUGAGACACGGCCCAGACUCCUACGGGAGGCAGCAGUGGGGAAUUUUCCGCAAUGGGCGCAAGCCUGACGGAGCAAGACCGCGUGAGGGAGGAAGGCUCUUGGGUUGUAAACCUCUUUUAUCAGGGAAGAAGAUCUGACGGUACCUGAUGAAUCAGCAUCGGCUAACUCCGUGCCAGCAGCCGCGGUAAUACGGAGGAUGCAAGCGUUAUCCGGAUUUAUUGGGCGUAAAGCGUCCGCAGGUGGUUUUUCAAGUCUGCUGUUAAAGCGCGAGGCUUAACCUCGUAACGGCGGUGGAAACUGAGAGACUAGAGUAUGGUAGGGGUAGCGGGAAUUCCCAGUGUAGCGGUGAAAUGCGUAGAUAUUGGGAAGAACACCAGCGGCGAAAGCGCGCUACUGGGCCAUAACUGACACUCAUGGACGAAAGCUAGGGGAGCGAAAGGGAUUAGAUACCCCUGUAGUCCUAGCUGUAAACGAUGGAUACUAGGUGUUGCCCGUAUCGACCCGGGCAGUGCCGUAGCUAACGCGUUAAGU